GGAGAGUUUGAUCCUGGCUCAGGAUGAACGCUAGCUACAGGCUUAACACAUGCAAGUCGAGGGGCAUUGGGGGUGUGGCAACACACCUGCCGGCGACCGGCGCACGGGUGAGUAACACGUAUCCAACCUGCCAUGAACUCCGGGAUAGCCCUCUGAAAGGAGGAUUAAUACCGGAUGUGACCUGUGGGGGACAUCCCCCGUCGGUUAAAGAUUCAUCGGUUCAUGAUGGGGAUGCGUCUGAUUAGCUUGUUGGCGGGGUAACGGCCCACCAAGGCACCGAUCAGUAGGGGUUCUGAGAGGAAGGUCCCCCACAUAGGAACUGAGACACGGUCCUAACUCCUACGGGAGGCAGCAGUGAGGAAUAUUGGUCAAUGGGCGUAAGCCUGAACCAGCCAAGUAGCGUGAGGGACGACGGCCCUACGGGUUGUAAACCUCUUUUAUGCGGGAAUAACGGGAGUCACGUGUGACUCUGUGCAUGUACCGCAUGAAUAAGCAUCGGCUAAUUCCGUGCCAGCAGCCGCGGUAAUACGGAAGAUGCGAGCGUUAUCCGGAUUUAUUGGGUUUAAAGGGAGCGUAGGCGGGCGCUUAAGCCUGCGGUCAAAUGUCAGCGCCCAACGCUGGCCUGCCGUGGGAACUGGGUACCUUGAAUGUGCACAAGGAAGGUGGAAUUCGUGGUGUAGCGGUGAAAUGCUUAGAUAUCACGAAGAACUCCGAUUGCGAAGGCAGCCUUCUGGGGCAUGAUUGACGCUGAGGCUCGAAAGUGCGGGUAUCGAACAGGAUUAGAUACCCUGGUAGUCCGCACGGUAAACGAUGGAUGCCCGCUGUAUGCGAUACACUGUAUGCGGCCAAGAGAAAUCGUUAAGCAUCCCACCUGGGGAGUACGCCGGCAACGGUGAAACUCAAAGGAAUUGACGGGGGCCCGCACAAGCGGAGGAACAUGUGGUUUAAUUCGAUGAUACGCGAGGAACCUUACCCGGGCUUGAACUGCAGCUGAACGAUCCAGAGAUGGUGAGGCCCUUCGGGCCAGCUGUGGAGGUGCUGCAUGGUUGUCGUCAGCUCGUGCCGUGAGGUGUCGGCUUAAGUGCCAUAACGAGCGCAACCCCUUCCGUCAGUUGCCAUCACGCAAUGGUGGGCACUCUGGCGGUACUGCCACCGUAAGGUGCGAGGAAGGUGGGGAUGACGUCAAAUCAGCACGGCCCUUACGUCCGGGGCUACACACGUGUUACAAUGGGUGGUACAGAGAGUCGGCCGUGUGCAAACCCGGUCCAAUCAAUAAAGCCAUCCUCAGUUCGGAUUGGGGUCUGCAACCCGACCCCAUGAAGCUGGAUUCGCUAGUAAUCGCGCAUCAGCCAUGGCGCGGUGAAUACGUUCCCGGGCCUUGUACACACCGCCCGUCAAGCCAUGAAAGUCUGGGGCGCCUGAAGUUCGUGACCGUAAGGAGCGACCUAGGGCGAAACAGGUAAUUGGGGCUAAGUCGUAACAAGGUAGCCGUA
RNAcentral lists this ribosomal RNA (1493 nucleotides) under uncultured rumen bacterium. RNAcentral's name for it is "16S ribosomal RNA". It matches the Rfam family "Bacterial small subunit ribosomal RNA". The record is from RNAcentral.